This 465-nucleotide ribosomal RNA is filed under the name uncultured bacterium. RNAcentral describes it as "partial 16S ribosomal RNA". It matches the Rfam family "Bacterial small subunit ribosomal RNA", at positions 28 to 507 of the family's 1533-position model. The record is from RNAcentral.
GACGAACGCUGGCGGCGUGCUUAACACAUGCAAGUCGUACGGUAAGGCCCUUUCGGGGGUACACGAGUGGCGAACGGGUGAGUAACACGUGAGUAACCUGCCCACAACUUUGGGAUAACGCUAGGAAACUGGUGCUAAUACUGGAUAUGUGCUCCUGCUGCAUGGUGGGGGGUGGAAAGCUCCGGGGGUUGUGGAUGGACUCGCGGCCUAUCAGCUUGUUGGUGGGGUAGUGGCCUACCAAGGCGGCGCCGGGUAGCCGGCCGGAGAGGGUGACCGGCCACAUUGGGACUGAGAUACGGCCCAGACUCCUACGGGAGGCAGAAGUGGGGAAUAUUGCACAAUGGGCGCGAGCCGGAUGCAGCAACGCCGCGUGCGGGAGGACGGCCUUCGGGUUGGAAACCGCUUUCAGCAGGGACGAAGCUUUUUGUGACGGUACCUGCAGAAGAAGCACCGGCUAACUACGUG